GACGGUAUUUCGAACCCACCUAGAGGAGCCUGUCCUAUAAUCGACAAUACACGAUCCACCCAACCACCUUUUGCCCUAAGCAGCCUGUAUACCGCCGUCGCAAGCUUAGCCCAUGAGGGACAAGCACUCAGCACAAUAACUCGCUCCUGAGCUAGAACGUCAGGUCAAGGUGCAGCCGAUAAGGUGGCAGAGAUUGGCUACAUUUUCUACACUAUAGAAAUGGGUCACGGAGAGGCCUGUGAAACCAGGACUGUCAAAGACGGAUUUAGCAGUAAAUUAGGAGAAGAGUGCCUAAUUGAAGAUGGCCCCGAAAUAUGUACACACCGCCCGUCACCCUCCUCGAAUUAAACCAGAUUUUGCUACAUAACGCACAUAGAACCCGAUGAGAUGAGGAAAGUCGUAACAAGGUAAGCGUACCGGAAGGUGUGCUUGGAACAUCAAAAUGUAGCUUAAACCAAAGCAUUCUGCUUACACCUGAAACAUGUUUACUUAAAUAAACCAUUUUGAUUAACCCGCUCUAGCCCUAAAAAUUAACCAAAAUAAAAUUAACCACACCAAACCAAAACAUUUUUAUGCCCAAGUAUCG
Molecule: ribosomal RNA, 586 nt
Filed under: Crocodylus mindorensis (Philippine crocodile)
Lineage: Eukaryota; Metazoa; Chordata; Crocodylia; Crocodylidae
Description: partial 12S ribosomal RNA
Rfam family: Bacterial small subunit ribosomal RNA (bases 1-445)
Source: RNAcentral